UUAAGCGACUAAGCGUACACGGUGGAUGCCCUGGCAGUCAGAGGCGAUGAAGGACGUGCUAAUCUGCGAAAAGCGUCGGUAAGGUGAUAUGAACCGUUAUAGCCGGCGAUGUCCGAAUGGGGAAACCCAGUGCAAUUCGUUGCACUAUCGUUAACUGAAUACAUAGGUUAACGAGGCGAACCGGGGGAACUGAAACAUCUAAGUACCCCGAGGAAAAGAAAUCAACCGAGAUUCCCCCAGUAGCGGCGAGCGAACGGGGAGCAGCCCAGAGUCUGAAUCAGCUUGUGUGUUAGUGGAACGGUCUGGAAAGUCCGACGGUACAGGGUGAUAGUCCCGUACACCAAAAUGCACAGGCUGUGAACUCGAAGAGUAGGGCGGGACACGUGGUAUCCUGUCUGAAUAUGGGGGGACCAUCCUCCAAGGCUAAAUACUCCUGACUGACCGAUAGUGAACCAGUACCGUGAGGGAAAGGCGAAAAGAACCCCGGCGAGGGGAGUGAAAAAGAACCUGAAACCGUGUACGUACAAGCAGUGGGAGCACCUUCGGGUGUGACUGCGUACCUUUUGUAUAAUGGGUCAGCGACUUAUAUUCUGUAGCAAGGUUAACCGUAUAGGGGAGCCGCAGGGAAACCGAGUCUUAACUGGGCGUUAAGUUGCAGGGUAUAGACCCGAAACCCGGUGAUCUAGCCAUGGGCAGGUUGAAGGUUGGGUAACACUAACUGGAGGACCGAACCGACUAAUGUUGAAAAAUUAGCGGAUGACUUGUGGCUGGGGGUGAAAGGCCAAUCAAACCGGGAGAUAGCUGGUUCUCCCCGAAAGCUAUUUAGGUAGCGCCUCGUGAACUCAUCUUCGGGGGUAGAGCACUGUUUCGGCUAGGGGGUCAUCCCGACUUACCAACCCGAUGCAAACUACGAAUACCGAAGAAUGUUAUCACGGGAGACACACGGCGGGUGCUAACGUCCGUCGUGAAGAGGGAAACAACCCAGACCGCCAGCUAAGGUCCCAAAGUCAUGGUUAAGUGGGAAACGAUGUGGGAAGGCACAGACAGCCAGGAUGUUGGCUUAGAAGCAGCCAUCAUUUAAAGAAAGCGUAAUAGCUCACUGGUCGAGUCGGCCUGCGCGGAAGAUGUAACGGGGCUAAACCAUGCACCGAAGCUGCGGCAGCGACACUAUGUGUUGUUGGGUAGGGGAGCGUUCUGUAAGCCUGCGAAGGUGUGCUGUGAGGCAUGCUGGAGGUAUCAGAAGUGCGAAUGCUGACAUAAGUAACGAUAAAGCGGGUGAAAAGCCCGCUCGCCGGAAGACCAAGGGUUCCUGUCCAACGUUAAUCGGGGCAGGGUGAGUCGACCCCUAAGGCGAGGCCGAAAGGCGUAGUCGAUGGGAAACAGGUUAAUAUUCCUGUACUUGGUGUUACUGCGAAGGGGGGACGGAGAAGGCUAUGUUAGCCGGGCGACGGUUGUCCCGGUUUAAGCAUGUAGGCUGGUUAUCCAGGCAAAUCCGGAUAAUCAAGGCUGAGGUGUGAUGACGAGGCACUACGGUGCUGAAGUAACAAAUGCCCUGCUUCCAGGAAAAGCCUCUAAGCAUCAGGUAACAUCAAAUCGUACCCCAAACCGACACAGGUGGUCAGGUAGAGAAUACCAAGGCGCUUGAGAGAACUCGGGUGAAGGAACUAGGCAAAAUGGUGCCGUAACUUCGGGAGAAGGCACGCUGGUGUGUAGGUGAAGUCCCUGCGGAUGGAGCUGAGACCAGUCGAAGAUACCAGCUGGCUGCAACUGUUUAUUAAAAACACAGCACUGUGCAAACACGAAAGUGGACGUAUACGGUGUGACGCCUGCCCGGUGCCGGAAGGUUAAUUGAUGGGGUUAUCCGUAAGGAGAAGCUCUUGAUCGAAGCCCCGGUAAACGGCGGCCGUAACUAUAACGGUCCUAAGGUAGCGAAAUUCCUUGUCGGGUAAGUUCCGACCUGCACGAAUGGCGUAAUGAUGGCCAGGCUGUCUCCACCCGAGACUCAGUGAAAUUGAACUCGCUGUGAAGAUGCAGUGUACCCGCGGCAAGACGGAAAGACCCCGUGAACCUUUACUAUAGCUUGACACUGAACAUUGAGCCUUGAUGUGUAGGAUAGGUGGGAGGCUUUGAAGCGUGGACGCCAGUCUGCGUGGAGCCAACCUUGAAAUACCACCCUUUAAUGUUUGAUGUUCUAACGUUGGCCCCUGACCGGGGUUGCGGACAGUGUCUGGUGGGUAGUUUGACUGGGGCGGUCUCCUCCCAAAGCGUAACGGAGGAGCACGAAGGUUAGCUAAUCCUGGUCGGACAUCAGGAGGUUAGUGCAAUGGCAUAAGCUAGCUUGACUGCGAGCGUGACGGCGCGAGCAGGUGCGAAAGCAGGUCAUAGUGAUCCGGUGGUUCUGAAUGGAAGGGCCAUCGCUCAACGGAUAAAAGGUACUCCGGGGAUAACAGGCUGAUACCGCCCAAGAGUUCAUAUCGACGGCGGUGUUUGGCACCUCGAUGUCGGCUCAUCACAUCCUGGGGCUGAAGUAGGUCCCAAGGGUAUGGCUGUUCGCCAUUUAAAGUGGUACGCGAGCUGGGUUUAGAACGUCGUGAGACAGUUCGGUCCCUAUCUGCCGUGGGCGCUGGAGAAUUGAGGGGGGCUGCUCCUAGUACGAGAGGACCGGAGUGGACGCAUCACUGGUGUUCGGGUUGUCAUGCCAAUGGCACUGCCCGGUAGCUAAAUGCGGAAGAGAUAAGUGCUGAAAGCAUCUAAGCACGAAACUUGCCCCGAGAUGAGUUCUCCCUGAGACUUUAAGUCUCCUGAAGGAACGUUGAAGACGACGACGUUGAUAGGCCGGGUGUGUAAGCGCAGCGAUGCGUUGAGCUAACCGGUACUAAUGAACCGUGAGGCUUAACCU
Molecule: ribosomal RNA, 2899 nt
Filed under: Klebsiella pneumoniae
Lineage: Bacteria; Pseudomonadati; Pseudomonadota; Gammaproteobacteria; Enterobacterales; Enterobacteriaceae
Description: 23S ribosomal RNA
Rfam family: Bacterial large subunit ribosomal RNA
Source: RNAcentral